This 2924-nucleotide ribosomal RNA is filed under the name Staphylococcus aureus. RNAcentral describes it as "23S ribosomal RNA". It matches the Rfam family "Bacterial large subunit ribosomal RNA". Lineage: Bacteria; Bacillati; Bacillota; Bacilli; Caryophanales; Staphylococcaceae. The record is from RNAcentral.
GAUUAAGUUAUUAAGGGCGCACGGUGGAUGCCUUGGCACUAGAAGCCGAUGAAGGACGUUACUAACGACGAUAUGCUUUGGGGAGCUGUAAGUAAGCUUUGAUCCAGAGAUUUCCGAAUGGGGAAACCCAGCAUGAGUUAUGUCAUGUUAUCGAUAUGUGAAUACAUAGCAUAUCAGAAGGCACACCCGGAGAACUGAAACAUCUUAGUACCCGGAGGAAGAGAAAGAAAAUUCGAUUCCCUUAGUAGCGGCGAGCGAAACGGGAAGAGCCCAAACCAACAAGCUUGCUUGUUGGGGUUGUAGGACACUCUAUACGGAGUUACAAAGGACGACAUUAGACGAAUCAUCUGGAAAGAUGAAUCAAAGAAGGUAAUAAUCCUGUAGUCGAAAAUGUUGUCUCUCUUGAGUGGAUCCUGAGUACGACGGAGCACGUGAAAUUCCGUCGGAAUCUGGGAGGACCAUCUCCUAAGGCUAAAUACUCUCUAGUGACCGAUAGUGAACCAGUACCGUGAGGGAAAGGUGAAAAGCACCCCGGAAGGGGAGUGAAAUAGAACCUGAAACCGUGUGCUUACAAGUAGUCAGAGCCCGUUAAUGGGUGAUGGCGUGCCUUUUGUAGAAUGAACCGGCGAGUUACGAUUUGAUGCAAGGUUAAGCAGUAAAUGUGGAGCCGUAGCGAAAGCGAGUCUGAAUAGGGCGUUUAGUAUUUGGUCGUAGACCCGAAACCAGGUGAUCUACCCUUGGUCAGGUUGAAGUUCAGGUAACACUGAAUGGAGGACCGAACCGACUUACGUUGAAAAGUGAGCGGAUGAACUGAGGGUAGCGGAGAAAUUCCAAUCGAACCUGGAGAUAGCUGGUUCUCUCCGAAAUAGCUUUAGGGCUAGCCUCAAGUGAUGAUUAUUGGAGGUAGAGCACUGUUUGGACGAGGGGCCCCUCUCGGGUUACCGAAUUCAGACAAACUCCGAAUGCCAAUUAAUUUAACUUGGGAGUCAGAACAUGGGUGAUAAGGUCCGUGUUCGAAAGGGAAACAGCCCAGACCACCAGCUAAGGUCCCAAAAUAUAUGUUAAGUGGAAAAGGAUGUGGCGUUGCCCAGACAACUAGGAUGUUGGCUUAGAAGCAGCCAUCAUUUAAAGAGUGCGUAAUAGCUCACUAGUCGAGUGACACUGCGCCGAAAAUGUACCGGGGCUAAACAUAUUACCGAAGCUGUGGAUUGUCCUUUGGACAAUGGUAGGAGAGCGUUCUAAGGGCGUUGAAGCAUGAUCGUAAGGACAUGUGGAGCGCUUAGAAGUGAGAAUGCCGGUGUGAGUAGCGAAAGACGGGUGAGAAUCCCGUCCACCGAUUGACUAAGGUUUCCAGAGGAAGGCUCGUCCGCUCUGGGUUAGUCGGGUCCUAAGCUGAGGCCGACAGGCGUAGGCGAUGGAUAACAGGUUGAUAUUCCUGUACCNCCUAUAAUCNGUUUNNNNGCUNNGGGGGACGCAGUAGAAUAGGCGAAGCGUGCGAUUGGAUUGCACGUCUAAGCAGUAAGGCUGAGUAUUAGGCAAAUCCGGUACUCGUUAAGGCUGAGCUGUGAUGGGGAGAAGACAUUGUGUCUUCGAGUCGUUGAUUUCACACUGCCGAGAAAAGCCUCUAGAUAGAAAAUAGGUGCCCGUACCGCAAACCGACACAGGUAGUCAAGAUGAGAAUUCUAAGGUGAGCGAGCGAACUCUCGUUAAGGAACUCGGCAAAAUGACCCCGUAACUUCGGGAGAAGGGGUGCUCUUUAGGGUUAACGCCCAGAAGAGCCGCAGUGAAUAGGCCCAAGCGACUGUUUAUCAAAAACACAGGUCUCUGCUAAACCGUAAGGUGAUGUAUAGGGGCUGACGCCUGCCCGGUGCUGGAAGGUUAAGAGGAGUGGUUAGCUUCUGCGAAGCUACGAAUCGAAGCCCCAGUAAACGGCGGCCGUAACUAUAACGGUCCUAAGGUAGCGAAAUUCCUUGUCGGGUAAGUUCCGACCCGCACGAAAGGCGUAACGAUUUGGGCACUGUCUCAACGAGAGACUCGGUGAAAUCAUAGUACCUGUGAAGAUGCAGGUUACCCGCGACAGGACGGAAAGACCCCGUGGAGCUUUACUGUAGCCUGAUAUUGAAAUUCGGCACAGCUUGUACAGGAUAGGUAGGAGCCUUUGAAACGUGAGCGCUAGCUUACGUGGAGGCGCUGGUGGGAUACUACCCUAGCUGUGUUGGCUUUCUAACCCGCACCACUUAUCGUGGUGGGAGACAGUGUCAGGCGGGCAGUUUGACUGGGGCGGUCGCCUCCUAAAAGGUAACGGAGGCGCUCAAAGGUUCCCUCAGAAUGGUUGGAAAUCAUUCAUAGAGUGUAAAGGCAUAAGGGAGCUUGACUGCGAGACCUACAAGUCGAGCAGGGUCGAAAGACGGACUUAGUGAUCCGGUGGUUCCGCAUGGAAGGGCCAUCGCUCAACGGAUAAAAGCUACCCCGGGGAUAACAGGCUUAUCUCCCCCAAGAGUUCACAUCGACGGGGAGGUUUGGCACCUCGAUGUCGGCUCAUCGCAUCCUGGGGCUGUAGUCGGUCCCAAGGGUUGGGCUGUUCGCCCAUUAAAGCGGUACGCGAGCUGGGUUCAGAACGUCGUGAGACAGUUCGGUCCCUAUCCGUCGUGGGCGUAGGAAAUUUGAGAGGAGCUGUCCUUAGUACGAGAGGACCGGGAUGGACAUACCUCUGGUGUACCAGUUGUCGUGCCAACGGCAUAGCUGGGUAGCUAUGUGUGGACGGGAUAAGUGCUGAAAGCAUCUAAGCAUGAAGCCCCCCUCAAGAUGAGAUUUCCCAACUUCGGUUAUAAGAUCCCUCAAAGAUGAUGAGGUUAAUAGGUUCGAGGUGGAAGCAUGGUGACAUGUGGAGCUGACGAAUACUAAUCGAUCGAAGACUUAAUCAA